UUACCUAACUAUUACCAUGGUGUUACCGAGCUGUGGUGUCAAUAGAAUUAUCAACCUAUCCAUUCAUAUUCAUCUUCUUAGCAAGCUUUAAUCCUGUUUUUCACCUCAAAGAUUUACAGCUUGACCAUUUAUUUACUGAUAAACACUACUUCACCUAAGAGACUUGAGUAUCCAGUUCUUCAUUGACCUUCAGCAUUCAGUUGUUUGUCUUCACCUUUUCAGGUUUCCUGUGUCCAGCAUCUUCAAGACAGACUAAGCUAACUUUUCAUAUUUUUUGCACAUUUAUAUUAGGUUAGG
Long non-coding RNA from Centropristis striata (black sea bass), 297 nucleotides. RefSeq lists it as uncharacterized. The record is from RefSeq and is a predicted model, not a curated record. The transcript is spliced from 3 exons. NCBI's taxonomy places the organism in Eukaryota, Metazoa, Chordata, Actinopteri, Perciformes, Serranidae.